UGGGGAAUUUUGGACAAUGGGCGAAAGCCUGAUCCAGCAAUGCCGCGUGUGUGAAGAAUGCCUUCGGGUUGUAAAGCACUUUUGUCCGGAAAGAAAUCCUUGGCUCUAAUACAGUCGGGGGAUGACGGUACCGGAAGAAUAAGCACCGGCUAACUACGUGCCAGCAGCCGCGGUAAUACGUAGGGUGCAAGCGUUAAUCGGAAUUACUGGGCGUAAAGCGUGCGCAGGCGGUUUGCUAAGACCGAUGUGAAAUCCCCGGGCUCAACCUGGGAACUGCAUUGGUGACUGGCAGGCUAGAGUAUGGCAGAGGGGGGUAGAAUUCCACGUGUAGCAGUGAAACGCGUAGAGAUGUGGAGGAAUACCGAUGGCGAAGGCAGCCCCCUGGGCCAAUACUGACGCUCAUGCGCGAAAGCGUGGGGAGCAAACAGGAUUAGAUACCCUGGUAGUCCACGCCCUAAACGAUGUCAACUAGUUGUUGGGGGAUUCAUUUUCCUUAGUAACGUAGCUAACGCGUGAAGUUGACCGCCUGGGGAGUACGGUCGCAAGAUUAAAACUUAAAUGAAUUG
This 566-nucleotide ribosomal RNA is filed under the name uncultured bacterium. RNAcentral's name for it is "partial 16S ribosomal RNA". It matches the Rfam family "Bacterial small subunit ribosomal RNA", at positions 355 to 912 of the family's 1533-position model. The record is from RNAcentral.